GUAUAAAAAAUAGAUCUCUCUCUCUCUCUCUCUCUCUCUCUCUCUCUCUCUGUAUAUGUGUGUGUGUGUGUGUGUGUGUGUGAGAGAGAGAGAGAGAGAGAGAGAGAGAGAGAGAAUAAUGAGGCAU
Non-coding RNA from Podarcis lilfordi (Lilford's wall lizard), 127 nucleotides. The record is from the annotation of a GenBank genome assembly. NCBI's taxonomy places the organism in Eukaryota, Metazoa, Chordata, Lepidosauria, Squamata, Lacertidae.